GGGGGCGUAAAGGUUUCGACGGGGAUUUUGAACCAACGAAAGCGAGCAGCGGUGCGGAACCGCUUUAAAAUCCGCAACUUAAAAUUAACUGACAACAAUAAAGUUGCCUUAGCUGCCUGAUUAGGCGGCCGUCCGACCGGAGAUUACCGCGGCUUCGGCUCGGGCGUCAUUUAGCGGUGAACGUGAAUAUUCUCUUUGGUCCUGAGAGGGUAUCACGGUUUUAGGGCCUACCGUUUUUUCCGCCUGACAACCGGCUGAAAACACGGGAAUUUAAACGAUUGUCUGCGCUCGGAGAUGUCGUUGGGAAUUGAUUUUCGGACGGGAGUUCGACUCUCCCCGCCUCCACCA
RNAcentral lists this transfer-messenger RNA (348 nucleotides) under Oscillospiraceae bacterium. It matches the Rfam family "transfer-messenger RNA". Rfam says of the family: Bacterial tmRNA, also known as 10Sa RNA or SsrA, is named for its dual tRNA and mRNA-like properties. Its role is to liberate the mRNA from a stalled ribosome. RNAcentral also lists the same sequence under 2 other names. Lineage: Bacteria; Bacillati; Bacillota; Clostridia; Eubacteriales; Oscillospiraceae. The record is from RNAcentral.